GGAGCUGGGGGGUCGUGUCCGCCUGAAACCCUC
This 33-nucleotide unclassified non-coding RNA is filed under the name Sorangium cellulosum So ce56. RNAcentral describes it as "sce_Cardiovirus_CRE_24". Lineage: Bacteria; Pseudomonadati; Myxococcota; Polyangiales; Polyangiaceae. The record is from RNAcentral.